UACGUAGGGGGCGAGCGUUGUCCGGAUUUAUUGGGCGUAAAGAGCGUGUAGGCGGCUUUACAGGUCCGUUGUGAAAACUCGAGGCUCAACCUCGAGACGCCGGUGGAAACCGUAAGGCUAGAGUCCGGAAGAGGAGAGUGGAAUUCCUGGUGUAGCGGUGAAAUGCGCAGAUAUCAGGAAGAACACCCGUGGCGAAGGCGGCUCUCUGGGACGGUACUGACGCUGAGACGCGAAAGCGUGGGGAGCGAACAGG
RNAcentral lists this ribosomal RNA (253 nucleotides) under uncultured bacterium. Its description in RNAcentral is "partial 16S ribosomal RNA". It matches the Rfam family "Bacterial small subunit ribosomal RNA", at positions 524 to 776 of the family's 1533-position model. The record is from RNAcentral.